This is a long non-coding RNA of Haliotis rufescens (red abalone), 441 nucleotides long. RefSeq lists it as uncharacterized. NCBI's taxonomy places the organism in Eukaryota, Metazoa, Mollusca, Gastropoda, Lepetellida, Haliotidae. The transcript is spliced from 3 exons. The record is from RefSeq and is a predicted model, not a curated record.
AAUGCGAAUGCAAUAGCCAAAGAACUUUCACCGGCACAAUCAGAACCUUCCACGUUCAUCGCCGAUGUCAUUAGAUCCUUCAACUGGACAUCACUCUGCAUCCUGUAUGACUCUUCGUCAGGAUAUACAGCUUCAUCGCUGCACUCUGUAAUGGCGUCAAAGACACCUUCCUGUACAAUCAUGGACUUCAACAUUGACAAAACAGAUGUGAAUGACGUCCUGAAGACUGUGAACUUCAUCAUGUCUCCAAACAUCAACAUAGUACUGCUCUGCAAUACCAUUGGUGCUAUACAUACUCUCAAAACGGCCAAUAGUUAUGACUGCACAUCCAACAGAACAAGUGACUACAGACACCUCUCCAAGUGGGUAGUCCUUGCCGAUAGACGUACAUUGCAUGAUAUCCGUCAAUUGGCUCUGGGUUUGGAAAAUGUCCUUUUUGUA